UCCAUUAAUUUUUGUCUCCUUCCCUAAUUUUGCUCUGCCAAAUUGCCACCUCUUCUCUUCUCUCCUCUCAGAGGAGAGAGAAGAAGAAGAAGCAAAAAAAAAAGCACCAAAAAAGGGAAAGAAGCAUAUUUAUUUAUUUUCUUUCUUUUUUUUCCGUCUCUUGUAGAUAAAAAGAAAAAUUAAAAAAAAUACCCAAUAAUCGAACUCUCUUUCACUCUCUCUCCUCUUAGGGUUUCCAUUUCCGCCAUUGCAGCUCUUUCUUUACCGUCACUGACCUUUAGUUUCACUCACAUUGCAUCGGGAUCGGCGCAUUGUUUCGAGAACAGAUUCGAGUUCUUAAAUUUCUCCGUCUUUUUUUAGGGCUUUUUCGGGAUUCUUUUUUGUACAGAUCGAGUGUAUAGAUUCGGGGCUAACCUUCUCUCAAUGGUAUGCUCACUUGGAAGUGGUAGAAUGGCCGUUAUGGCUAGACUUCUUGAAGCAGGAAGCAUCUCGUCGGCAGAGGAAGUUAGCAAUAAAAAAUUAGCUGCUCAAUACAUUUACAGAGAAUUACGUGGAGCAGAUGAGGCCAAUUUAAUUGAUGAAGAAGAUAUGCAUGUAUUUGGUUUGAAGCCUAUGGCUGAUCCUUUGCAUUUGGUAUGUUGUAAUGCUUGUAAGAAGCCGAUCAAGGCAAGUCAAUAUGCUGCUCAUGAAGAACUCUGUAGGUUAUUAAAAACCACCGAAGAAACUAUUUUGGAGCUUGAUGGUAGUACUGGGCAUAGAAAACCUCCAAGGAAGGAAAGGAAGAAGUCACUAGCUGCUUAUGCUAACCAACCUAUACCAGUUGGGGAGCAGGAAAGAUCUGAAAUUAUUGAUGCUGAUGAUACUACAGCAUCAGAAUCCCACAUAAAUGGACAAAUUGGGAUGCCUUCUUCCUUAACCAUGGAUGCAAAAAGAAAUUCUGCUUGUGUAGAUACAGCAUAUGUGAUGGAUGGCUCAGGAGUUAGUUCUGAUAAUACUGACCACUCGACCUCUGUAGUGGCACCCUCAACAAAACGCGUUAAACUGGUAGCUGGUGACCGCCUUCUCCUGCCAGAUGGUCCAAAAACAGCUUCUGGUGUGACAAAAACUCAAAAUACUCAUGACCUACAUGCCUCUAGAGAUUCUCAAAGAGGAAGAGUUUCAGGAUGUGAAACACCUAAUGGUAGGCAAGCCCAUAAAAACUGUCUGCUGACAAAAGAUAUUCCAGUUCCUCUUAGUACCAAAAUCUAUUACUCUCAAAGAAACAGUCGUCUUCGCUUAGCGCUUAGUCAUCAGUACUUUGUCACAUCAACCAAAGAACUUUGCAGUGACAUGGUUAGUCCACAAGCAUCACAACAAAGCAUGAUGCUGUUGCAGGCUUCAUCUCAGGGCGUCUGUCCUCUUGAUCAGGUGGAUAAUCUGCUUAUCAUGAAGAAAAAUGUUUACCAAGCAAACAACAGAUUGAUGCUCGUUGCUUGAAUCUAUUAGAGUCAAACACAAAGAAAACCAGCACUGCUUUUGAAGAUUGAUGAAGUGCCUUGUGACAUCUCCUUUGUGAUUCAUAUGUUUCAUGCAUCUAGAGGAACUAAGGCCGCAAGGAUUUAGAAGCUUCAAGAGUCUUCUCUGCAGAAACCUGAUCAAAUUCUUGCUCAAAGUUCAGAAGUAUGCUUGAGUAAAUCAGUAGGGUGCCUACCAUCCAAUGACUUUUCAAAUCAGCAUCCAAUUGAUAAUAUUCCAAGGCCUCAGGCGGCAGCUGUUGGAUUGGCAAGAAGCAAAUAUAUUUCGAAGCCUUAUUCUUUUGCAGGCAACUCAGGCAAACUGCUGGGGCCCAUGCAGCCUCCAAAUGGGAGUGUUCCUGUUGUAUAGGAAGUCCUGGUUGGAAUUUUGCUAGGCAAAGGUGUAUUUAGCGAUACAUGAGAAAUGAGAGUUAGGAUCCAUUUUUGAAAUCCUAGAAAGCAUAUAUCACUUCAAUUUGUUCAUUCUAGCCUUCUGGAUUACACUUUUGACAGCCAGCCAGCUAGCCCUUUGUUUAUAGUUUUGAAGGAAAUAAAGUAAAUAGUAAAUUAUCCUUAUUGUAUA
Non-coding RNA from Theobroma cacao (cacao), 2076 nucleotides. The record is from RefSeq and is a predicted model, not a curated record. Lineage: Eukaryota; Viridiplantae; Streptophyta; Magnoliopsida; Malvales; Malvaceae.